RNAcentral lists this ribosomal RNA (378 nucleotides) under uncultured organism. RNAcentral's name for it is "partial 16S ribosomal RNA". It matches the Rfam family "Bacterial small subunit ribosomal RNA", at positions 527 to 896 of the family's 1533-position model. The record is from RNAcentral.
GGAGGGUGCGAGCGUUGUCCGGAAUCACUGGGCGUAAAGGGCGCGUAGGCGGCGCAGUAAGUAGGGGGUGAAAUCUCAUGGCUCAACCGUGAAACGGCCUCCUAAACUGCUGUGCUUGAGCACGGUAGAGGCAGAUGGAAUUCCCGGUGUAGCGGUGGAAUGCGUAGAUAUCGGGAAGAACACCAGUGGCGAAGGCGGUCUGCUGGGCCGUUGCUGACGCUGAGGCGCGACAGCGUGGGGGGAGCAAACAGGAUUAGAUACCCUGGUAGUCCACGCCGUAAACGAUGGGUACUAGGCGUCGGGGGGAGCGACCCCCCCCUUCGGUGCCGUCGCUAACGCAGUAAGUACCCCCGCCUGGGGAGUACGGCCGCAAGGCUG